CUACGGGACGCUCCAGUGAGGAAUAUUGCACAAUGGGGGGAACCCUGAUGCAGCAACGCCGCGUGGAGGAUGACGCAUUUCGGUGUGUAAACUCCUUUUAUAUGUCAAGAAAAUGACGGUAGCAUAUGAAUAAGCACCGGCUAACUCCGUGCCAGCAGCCGCGGUAAUACGGAGGGUGCAAGCGUUACUCGGAAUCACUGAGCGUAAAGGACGCGUAGGCGGGUUGGAAAGUCAGGUGUGAAAUCCUACAGCUUAACUGUAGAACUGCACUUGAAACUUCUAAUCUAGAGUAUGGGAGGGGGAGAUGGAAUUAGUGGUGUAGGGGUAAAAUCCGUAGAUAUCACUAGGAAUACCUAAAGCGAAGGCGAUCUCCUGGAACAUUACUGACGCUAAGGCGUGAAAGCGUGGGGAGCAAACAGGAUUAGAUACCCCCGUAGUC
RNAcentral lists this ribosomal RNA (439 nucleotides) under uncultured bacterium. Its description in RNAcentral is "partial 16S ribosomal RNA". It matches the Rfam family "Bacterial small subunit ribosomal RNA", at positions 339 to 795 of the family's 1533-position model. The record is from RNAcentral.